GUGACCUAUUCCACGAUUAUCAAAUCCAAUCUAGAACUCCACCGCCUCCACCGACCGCCCUCUGCCCCCUAGCUGCUCCAUGGCCUGCAGCCAUAGCAUGGAUUGGGUUCUCUUCCGGCGUUGCGGCCGCCGCCGAGGCACCACGGCUUCCCCAACGUAUCUCCUCGCUGGGACGGUGCUCUCGACCUGCCGGCUGGUUCGCCGUGUGGCCGGUCGACGCCCGACCUCUCCCCUGCCACAAGCUCCCCAUGGCCGAGCUGCUCAAUGGCCUGCAGCCAUAGCAAGGAUUGGGCCCUCCUCCGGCGUUGCGACCGCCGCCGAGGUGCCACGACUUCCCCGACAUACCUCCUCGCCGGGAUGCCCUCGACCUGCCGGCUGGUUCACCGUGUCUGCUAGGGAUUCGGAAGAACGAUGUUGACUCCUCUCCGGCUAGAUUGGCAAACCUCUUCCUCUCUCGGCAACGAGCCAGUAUGCUGGCUCAACUCCAUGUCCCCCUCUCCUCUAUAUGCAAAUUAGAUGAAAGAAGCAGCAGCGAUGGGGCCUACACAUCUACAAGCUAUCAUCUAAUGAAGUCUUACAGUCACCUGAAAACAUCAUGAUACCAUUGGCUAUUGUUAUGAUUGGAGUUUCACACAUGACAAAUGUUCCUGUCAAAGGUACACCUACGGCAAUCUGAAUUUUGAAUUGCGUAAGUAAGCAACAUGUAUGUUGGUAGAGCUUUAUUGUUGGUCAUUAUGGCAAAAUGUUUCACGAGCCUACCUUUCGUGGUGCUUUACAUGCUUAUGUCUCUGCCAAGUGACUACGAUAUAAUUCUGAUUAUGGUUUCAAAUUAAGAGUUACAAUUGUUGCUGUUUUGUGGAGUGCGCAUGCACACCAAUUUUUAGUGGAGGCUCUGCAGCAGUAGGUGCAACAAGACGCAGUUGUCAUUCUUUUUGUUUCCUGACUGUCAGGCUGCAUGAAGGUGAUUUUUUUCACUUUAGACAAUUCAUUUUUCUCUUCAGUUUCCGUUGGUAAUUACAAUCAAUGUGUUUUAGUAAUGUGUUUUAGUAAUACCAGAUAUGUAAUAAACAAUAUGAUAAAUUCAUUCUUCAGCAAUAUAUGUACAAAAUUAAUUUGAAGCUCUGAAAUGAUCUUUGGGAAAAAAGUGUAUAAACUGCAUACGAAGAUUUCAUCUUCCUUACAGCGUUCUAUGUUGAAGAUCUAAAAGAAAAAAAAAAGUUAGUCUACUGUUGCAUUUUUAAAUAAGUUUAUUUGGAAAAAAUGUGUAGAAACUGAAUACUAACAUUUGAUGUGCUUUCUAUCGUUCUGUCCUGAAGGUAUCAAAGAACAGAGUGUGCCUUAUGUUGUAUAGUUAAGUUAUUGAUUGGUAGUGUUGUCAUUACUCAUUACCAUGGAUGGAAAUGCUUUUCAUGCAACCAAAUUUAUGCAGGGUUCAGCCACCGAGUUGAACUCUCAUGGUUUCCCAACUCCAUGGUCCCAAGCCAACAUGUGUUCUCCGGAAGCCGGAAUCUGCUUAUAUAUACAGCUGAGGUGAUGUCGGUAUGCCAUGUAGAUUGCAGUACUGCGACUGCUGUGCGGACUCCUGGUGUGCACAAAGAUCACUCAUCUUUCUCUCAAGAAUUUGUAGGGAAAUUGUGCUUCCAAAUCACAUCUCUAACCCGUUGUUAGAUAAACAUUCCCACUCGGGAGAUAUGAGAAUCAACCAGAUGAAAUAGAAUGGCACGGACCAGAAAAUGGAAGGCUUAACCCUGUUCAGACAACAUUGUACACUUUGUCCAAAGAAGAAAGAGAUUUCAUUGUGAUUACGUUUAGAACUAUUGAUAAAAUAACUAUGCAUUGUUGUUCGCUUAUCCCUAAACAUAUCAAUACCAUUGAUAACAUGCAGGGAAAGUACUAUAAGCUGGCAAUUAUUGUCACAGAGGUCGAUGAUUCUGAUGGCUGGUGGUUCAUGUCCUGCAAGGUAUGCUGGAAAAAGGGAUUACAUAAUGGAAAUGCUUAUAGAUGCACCGGGAAACUGCCCCUGCAAAGAAGGGAGGCACAGGUAAGCAACUGCCGCUACUCAUAUAAACCAUAUAAAUAAAGAUGUCUUUGUUCGCAGGUAAUACUGCUAGCCCAGCGUUGCCAUCGGGAAGCAACAAAAACUCCACCGUCUACAGAAAAAGCUUCGGUGCCUUCUCCAUCUGACGAAGUGGCAAAUGCAUAAGAAGAUAGCAUAGCUUCAGCCACCACGCCAAGCAAAUCCAUCUCAGAAAAGGCUGAAUCCAGUGUAGACAAUGUUAGUACAAACUGGACUUUAUCCAUGCUCUCAAUUCCAGGGCAGCCAAAGCUUAAAAGGGACACAGUAUUAUGCCAUAAUCUAGAUCAAAGAACAGCAGUUUUUCCUACUGAAGAUGUCAGCUCAGCAUCAGCUAAGAAAUAGUUCAAAAAGGCGCUCACCACUUGCCAGUAAGCAUAAAACUCAAACACAAGUUACCUAGGCUAGAACCAAUGCAGUUGUAAGAAAAUACCAACUUUACCUCAGGUCCAAGAACAGGUCAAUUCAGACUGAAAACCACCAGCAGAAGAGGAAGAUCGGUGAAGUGCAGAUUCCCUAGACUACCGGGAUCAGUUGUGAAAUAUUAUGUAGCUGCUCUAGACAAUAUGUGCUUUGAAGUACCUGGUACCUAGCCUGAUCCCAUAUUACUUCAGUGCUAUGUUUGCAUGUACAAUAGCACAAACCUGUCUACCGUUCCAGCAAGCACAAGCAACAAGUACUUCUGUUCUGUCUUUA
This is a long non-coding RNA of Lolium perenne, 2770 nucleotides long. RefSeq lists it as uncharacterized. Lineage: Eukaryota; Viridiplantae; Streptophyta; Magnoliopsida; Poales; Poaceae. The record is from RefSeq and is a predicted model, not a curated record.